UACGUAGGGUGCGAGGGUUAAUCGGAAUUACUGGGCGUAAAGCGUGCGCAGGUGGUGAGCUGUGUCCGAUGUGAAAGCCCCGGGCUUAACCUGGGAAUGGCAUUGGAAACUGGCUCGCUGGAGUGUGGCAGAGGGGGGUGGAAUUCCGCGUGUAGCAGUGAAAUGCGUAGAGAUGCGGAGGAACACCGAUGGCGAAGGCAGCCCCCUGGGCUAACACUGACGCUCAGGCACGAAAGCGUGGGGAGCAAACAGG
RNAcentral lists this ribosomal RNA (253 nucleotides) under uncultured bacterium. RNAcentral describes it as "partial 16S ribosomal RNA". It matches the Rfam family "Bacterial small subunit ribosomal RNA", at positions 524 to 776 of the family's 1533-position model. The record is from RNAcentral.